This 54-nucleotide ribosomal RNA is filed under the name Ramulariopsis gossypii. RNAcentral describes it as "partial 18S ribosomal RNA". Lineage: Eukaryota; Fungi; Ascomycota; Dothideomycetes; Mycosphaerellales; Mycosphaerellaceae. The record is from RNAcentral.
GGUGAACCUGCGGAGGGAUCAUUACUGAGUGAGGGCCCACGCCCGACCUCCAAC